GGGCUCGUGGUUUAGUGGUAUAAUACUCCCUUAGCAUCUAGAGCGUCUCGCAGCUGCAUUGCAGCCUACAAGACAUCGAAAUUCUGACUGGGAGUGGUCCGGGGUUCGAUUCCCCGCGAGUCCA
Molecule: non-coding RNA, 124 nt
Organism: Didymella keratinophila
Lineage: Eukaryota; Fungi; Ascomycota; Dothideomycetes; Pleosporales; Didymellaceae
Source: the annotation of a GenBank genome assembly